AUGUAUUUAAAGUUAGAGCACACACAGUCAUCUCUGAUUCUUGGUGUCAGUGUUUCAUCAGGGUCCCCUGCACUUCAGAUUCUGCAUUCCUUGCCUGUUUGCCUUCAACCUGCUGGUGGGCAGUCCCUAAGAAAGAACAGGCAUGGAAGUGGGGAGAGCCAUACGUAUUUAAAAGUGAGUUUCUCUGUUUGAAGAACAUAAGGACAUUUCUCACGGCCUGUUGUGAGACGUUUGGAAUGAGGAAAAGUGAACUUUUCGAGGCAUUUGACCUGUUUGAUGUUCGUGACUUUGGAAAGGUUAUAGAAACAUUAUCACGACUUUCUCGAACACCUAUAGCAUUGGCCACAGGAAUCAGUUUUCAUCUACACUAGUGAACGGAGCCAUGGAAGGAUGAUUGCUACCAAAUUAUUUGUUAUCAGAUCCCACAGCUGAAAAGAGAGGGUGCUGAAGGCAAGGGCCCUUCCCAACAGAAGAAAGCAUUAAUGAUGAAGACAUCUACAAAGGCCUUCCUGAUUUAAUAGAUGAAACCCUUGUGGAAGAUGAAGAAGAUCUCUAUGACUGUGUUUAUGGGGAAGAUGAAGGUGGAGAAGUCUAUGAGGACUUAAUGAAGGCAGAGGAAGCACAUCAGCCCAAAUGUCCAGAAAAUGAUAUACGAAGUUGUUGUCUAGCAGAAAUUAAGCAGACAGAAGAAAAAUAUACAGAAACUUUGGAGUCAAUAGAAAAAUAUUUCAUGGCACCACUAAAAAGAUUUCUGACAGCAGCAGAAUUUGAUUCAGUAUUCAUCAACAUUCCUGAACUUGUAAAACUUCAUCGGAACCUAAUGCAAGAGAUUCAUGAUUCCAUUGUAAAUAAAAAUGACCAGAACUUGUACCAAGUUUUUAUUAACUACAAGGAAAGAUUGGUUAUUUACGGGCAGUACUGCAGUGGAGUGGAGUCAGCCAUCUCUAGUUUAGACUACAUUUCUAAGACAAAAGAAGAUGUCAAACUGAAAUUAGAGGAAUGUUCCAAAAGAGCAAAUAAUGGGAAAUUUACACUUCGAGACUUGCUUGUGGUUCCUAUGCAACGUGUUUUAAAGUACCACCUUCUCCUCCAGGAACUGGUCAAACAUACCACUGAUUCGACUGAGAAGGCAAAUCUGAAACUGGCUCUUGAUGCCAUGAAGGACUUGGCACAAUAUGUGAAUGAAGUGAAAAGAGAUAAUGAGACCCUUCGUGAAAUUAAACAGUUUCAGCUAUCUAUAGAGAAUUUGAACCAACCAGUUUUGCUUUUUGGACGACCUCAGGGAGAUGGUGAAAUUCGAAUAACCACUCUAGACAAGCAUACCAAACAAGAAAGGCAUAUCUUCUUAUUUGAUUUGGCAGUGAUCGUAUGUAAGAGAAAAGGUGAUAACUAUGAAAUGAAGGAAAUAAUAGAUCUUCAGCAGUACAAGAUAGCCAAUAAUCCUACAACCGAUAAAGAAAAUAAAAAGUGGUCUUAUGGCUUCUACCUCAUCCAUACCCAAGGACAAAAUGGGUUAGAAUUUUAUUGCAAAACAAAAGAUUUAAAGAAGAAAUGGCUAGAACAGUUUGAAAUGGCUUUGUCUAACAUAAGGCCAGACUAUGCAGACUCCAAUUUCCACGACUUCAAGAUGCAUACCUUCACUCGAGUCACAUCCUGCAAAGUCUGCCAGAUGCUCCUGAGGGGAACAUUUUAUCAAGGCUAUUUAUGUUUUAAGUGUGGAGCGAGAGCACACAAAGAAUGUUUGGGAAGAGUAGACAAUUGUGGCAGAGUUAAUUCUGGUGAACAAGGGACACUCAAACUACCAGAGAAACGGACCAAUGGACUGCGAAGAACUCCUAAACAGGUGGAUCCAGAUGUGCCCUGUCUCCUUCAUUUCUUUAUUUCCAUGGCCCCUGCUACUAGAAGCAUUGUAAAAAGCCAGAAGAAGAACAAGAAAUUCUGAGGACAUGGGUGAAAAUGCAGCCUUGAGGUUUCUGAAAAUAACAGGAGACAGACAAGGCUGGUGUCCAGCAACAAUACUGGGUAGCUCUUUUUGUCCCCACUUACACAGCGAAGGAUAAAGAAGAGAUUCUAUGGACACUUAGUAAGGAUUACUUCAUGUUUUAAUUCAAAGUACUUUGGAAAGAAGACUUUGAGCAGAGUGGAAUAGCAGGAGGUUUUUGCAAGGUGAAAUAGAAUGAAAGUGCAGCCAAGAAUUUUUCUGUCUUCAAUUUUAAAGAACACCGGCAUAACUCAUUUUUCUUUUUUUCCCCUGUGUUCUUUUUGACCUUCUUAGCAGCUCCUGACUUUCUCCCUUGGGGAUUUUUCUCUGUAUAGUCAGCGCUGACUCCCUUAGAAAUCCUGAACCCCACACCCGUAUCGCGAAAGAGUUGAAGAGAAUUCAAAUAAACACGUUGAGAUAAGUAGCUUGUGAACUAACUGUUACGGCAUGCCUCUGUAAUAAGAUACUGCCAGCUAGAAGCUAAAAUAAAGUGAAAUUCCAUUUAA
RNAcentral lists this small RNA (2487 nucleotides) under Pan troglodytes (chimpanzee). RNAcentral describes it as "processed transcript". Lineage: Eukaryota; Metazoa; Chordata; Mammalia; Primates; Hominidae. The record is from RNAcentral.